This 645-nucleotide ribosomal RNA is filed under the name Halorubrum ezzemoulense. RNAcentral describes it as "bacterial SSU rRNA". It matches the Rfam family "Archaeal small subunit ribosomal RNA", at positions 54 to 700 of the family's 1478-position model. The record is from RNAcentral. Lineage: Archaea; Methanobacteriati; Methanobacteriota; Halobacteria; Halobacteriales; Haloferacaceae.
CUAGUCGCACGAGUUCAGACUCGUGGCGAAUAGCUCAGUAACACGUGGCCAAACUACCCUUCGGAACACAAUACCCUCGGGAAACUGAGGCUAAUAGUGUAUAUCGUACCACCACUGGAAUGAGUGGUACGCCAAACGCUCCGGCGCCGAAGGAUGUGGCUGCGGCCGAUUAGGUAGACGGUGGGGUAACGGCCCACCGUGCCAAUAAUCGGUAUGGGUCAUGAGAGUGAGAACCCAGAGACGGAAUCUGAGACAAGAUUCCGGGCCCUACGGGGCGCAGCAGGCGCGAAACCUUUACACUGCACGACAGUGCGAUAGGGGGAUCCCAAGUGCACAGGCAUAGCGCCUGUGCUUUUCGGUACCCUAAGGCGGUACCAGAAUAAGGGCUGGGCAAGACCGGUGCCAGCCGCCGCGGUAAUACCGGCAGCCCAAGUGAUGGCCGAUCUUAUUGGGCCUAAAGCGUCCGUAGCUGGCCGCGCAAGUCCAUCGGGAAAUCCACCUGCUCAACAGGUGGGCGCCCGGUAGAAACUGCGUGGCUUGGGACCGGAAGGCGCGACGGGUACGUCCGGGGUAGGAGUGAAAUCCCGUAAUCCUGGACGGACCGCCGAUGGCGAAAGCACGUCGCGAGAACGGAUCCGACAGUGA